CGGGAUGUAGCGCAGCCCGGUAGCGUACUUGCAUGGGGUGCAAGUGGUCGCUGGUUCGAAUCCAGUCAUCCCGA
RNAcentral lists this transfer RNA (74 nucleotides) under Chryseobacterium taklimakanense. RNAcentral describes it as "Planobacterium taklimakanense tRNA". It matches the Rfam family "tRNA". From Rfam's summary of the family: Transfer RNA (tRNA) molecules are approximately 80 nucleotides in length. The record is from Rfam by way of RNAcentral. RNAcentral also lists the same sequence under 3 other names. Lineage: Bacteria; Pseudomonadati; Bacteroidota; Flavobacteriia; Flavobacteriales; Weeksellaceae.